GUGAGGAAUUUUCCGCAAUGGGCGAAAGCCUGACGGAGCAAUGCCGCGUGAAGGAUGAAGGCCUAUGGGUUGUAAACUUCUUUUCUCAGAAAAGAAUUAUGACGGUAUCUGAGGAAUAAGCAUCGACUAACUCUGUGCCAGCAGCCGCGGUAAGACAGAGGAUGCAAGCGUUAUCCGGAAUGAUUGGGCGUAAAGCGUCUGUAGGUUGUUUAAAAAGUAUUCUGUCAAAGAUUAGGGCUUAACCCUAGAUAGGCAGAAUAAACUUUUAAGCUAGAGUUUGGUAGAGGCAGAGGGAAUUCCCGGUGGAGCGGUGAAAUGCGUAGAUAUCGGGAGGAACACCAAAGGCGAAGGCACUCUGCUGGGCCAAUACUAACACUGAGAGACGAAAGCGAGGGGAGCAAAUGGGAUUAGAAACCCGAGUAGUCC
RNAcentral lists this ribosomal RNA (426 nucleotides) under uncultured bacterium. RNAcentral describes it as "partial 16S ribosomal RNA". It matches the Rfam family "Bacterial small subunit ribosomal RNA", at positions 354 to 796 of the family's 1533-position model. The record is from RNAcentral.